Molecule: non-coding RNA, 2416 nt
Organism: Paramuricea clavata
Lineage: Eukaryota; Metazoa; Cnidaria; Anthozoa; Malacalcyonacea; Plexauridae
Source: the annotation of a GenBank genome assembly
GUUCAUUGUCAUACGGUCCCGACAAGCAGCAACGUACAGUAGUCUUCCAGGCAUAAAUAAUUACUUUUGAUUAGGCUCAGUAAUUAUAAUAGAUAAUUACUUCGGCCAACUGGCAUUAUUGGAUAUAUUGCAGCCAGCUUCGGCGUUCGGCCUCCGGCCUCAGGUGGCUGCAAUAUAUCCAAUAAUGCCGUUGGCCUCAAUAAUUAUCUAAUAAAUAGUUAAAUACAGGAACAAUUUAGAGAAUUUACUGACGCAAUUAUUUAACUCUAUUUAUUUAUUAUUUGGGAUAUUUUGUGGACGAGUGAAUGAUAUACAUAGCUAGCUUUGUUGAUUGCACAUAGCAGAAUGACAGUCACUUCAGAUAUUUAUAAAAUAUAUCAAAGUACCGAAAAUAUAAUUAGGUGCAUAUAACUGAUCCAUCAUUAGUAAUAGUUGUACUACAGUCGAAGAAUGUGAUAAGUGGACAAUUGGCAAAAUUGCUGUCUGCCAGUUUAAUACAGUAAGAACCAUACAUAAAAUGCUUAGCAGUAUCAAAUAAGUGAAACUUGGCCGCGGUAUUCCCAUGCUAUGCAUACGAUGUAUUGUACAUUAUAUCAACAUAUACUCGAGAAUAGUUAUCCAGCUAAACAUGUAUGUCAAAAUUAUCACAUCUUCUGGUUUUAAAUCAACAAUUCUGACGGAUUUUGUGCAAGGACAGCUUCGGGUUCCGUUUCGCUUUGGCCGAUGCUUGCUGGAAAUACACUUAUUUACCGGAAGUUGUCGUCUCCUCCGCAGGCCCUUCGAUCUUCGACUACGCGCGCGGCUCGACACAAAUGGGAAAAAAAAAACAAGAAAAAAAAAAUAGGAGCCGAAUUUAAGACCUCCGUGUCGUACCGACCCGAGGUAAUGAGUACUUUCAAUAGACUGAAAAAAAAAUUUUGUGUCAGGGGCACUUUUAAGGAGAGUCACAGUUUUCUGUUGAUUGCUAGUGAUAAUAUAGUCUGUGUGUUGUGACCUCGAAAAGUGCCUAGAAAACGAUUUUCAUUUAGCAUGUUUUGGAUCUGAAACAUUUUUACAGGAACUAACACUUUUGAACACGCUGAGUUAAAAUGCGAAAAGUUAUUGUAGAUCCACAGUUUUCUCACAAACUGCUAUUUUGUCUUCACUAAUUUCACAGCAAAUCUUUUCAUUGUUCAAUGACACGGAUCGAUACACGAAGGUCGAAGGGACCAAUAUCAAAGGCAAUCUCGAAACCAGAGCCCGCAAUCUUCUGUGGAGGCUUGCUGAGGCUCUGGGACACACCGGCGAAAGUCGGGCUCUGAUUGGUUGUUUUUCAACAUCUCGUCCCCAGGCCCAAGCGGCCCUCAAAGUUUUUCAAGUGCUAAUUAUUCAAACUUUGAGCCGUAUUUAGUUAUUCGGAUUUCAAACAUCGUUUAAAAUUAAUAUAAAUUAAAGUUUAUUUCUCUUUGUGUAUUAUGUUUAAACAUAUCAAUGAAACACACAGCAUAACAUUAAUAAACUUAUUAAGCUUUCCUAGCUUCUCAUAUGAAAUCAAAAGACUAUUCUAUUUCUGAUAUUGAUAUGCUAUAAAUAACAAAAUUAGAAUAACAACAGUGCAGCAUUAUAAUAUUUAAAAUAACACAACAAUCUAUAAUAUUUAAAAUAACACAACAAUCCAUGAUUUACCGUAAUUAAACAAUUUAAAAUAAAUCACUACCAGUAUCUUACAACAAUUCAAAACCAUGGCAAGUGUUCUUUGAAGAAUUAAAGUCGUAAUAAGCUUAAACAACGGCAUAAUUCAUGUUUGACGGCAGUAAUGUCUACUUAUAAAUGUCGAGCGGAUUAGUGGAUCCAAAUGUACUGAUUUUCGUGCAAAAGUCGCCGGUGUUUCCCAGAGCCUCAGUAAGCCUCCACAGAGGAUUGCGGGCUCUGGUUUCGAGAUUGUAUCAAAGGGACCAAUUUCUGUUAACCAGUCUUCCUUUUAACAAAAGACCGGUUUUGCUCGAAUCAUUUUGAGUUACACUGUAUGUAAUCUUAUGCGUGUUGGACGUAAACAACAUAUCUUGUCUACAACUUUGAGAAGGUACAGAUAACUCUUUCUAAAAUCCUCAGUUCUGGCUCUAUCUCUAUAAAAUCACAAGGACAUUAAUGUUAAGUCUUUGGGCUAUGUUUCUCUGGGCUGAGAAAUAAUUCUUUACAUGCAAUCAAAAUGUUUUAUACAAAGAUCUAAAACGUUAAUCUUAUGUAAUGGAUUGGCAUUUAAAUUUCCAACACAGUUUCUGAGACGUAAUUCAAGAGGUCAGUAACUUAUCAUUGCAUUUGAACUAUUAUACAUCAGUUGGUGUUAUGCAGUGCAAUAAACGACUAUUAUUGGAAAGAGGGCUCACCAAAUAAACAGCUCAUGCACACAUUUGUCCACUUCGUUGUUUACAGAGCA